Triticum urartu is the source of this 333-nucleotide non-coding RNA. NCBI's taxonomy places the organism in Eukaryota, Viridiplantae, Streptophyta, Magnoliopsida, Poales, Poaceae. The record is from RefSeq and is a predicted model, not a curated record.
UGCUUGAUCGGUCGGAAUGAGAAGAAGUUUGACUACAUCAACCGCGUUGUCAAACACUUCCGCUUUCUGUCUACAAGGGGAUACACUUUGUGAACUCUUUAUAUUUUCAUUUACCUGAAGUUUGUAGCCCUCAAGCUAAAAGGAUACACUUCGUGAAGUCUUCAUAUUUUCAUUUACCCGAAGUGUGUAGCCCUCAAGCUAAAAGUAAAAACUUAUUCCUCUGUCUGAAGAAGUUUUUAAUCAGCAAUCUUGCAGCUUUUUACCGAGGUCCCUUUGUGAGUUGUAAACUUUAAAAUGUCCUUUGUUUGUUUGAAGAUAUUAACAGUUUCAUCU